RNAcentral lists this ribosomal RNA (1475 nucleotides) under uncultured Bordetella sp. Its description in RNAcentral is "partial 16S-23S ribosomal RNA intergenic spacer". It matches the Rfam family "Bacterial small subunit ribosomal RNA". The record is from RNAcentral. Lineage: Bacteria; Pseudomonadati; Pseudomonadota; Betaproteobacteria; Burkholderiales; Alcaligenaceae.
GGUUCGAUUCUGGCCUGGACGAACGUUGGCGGGAUGCUUAUACAUGCAAGUCGAACGGCAGCACGGACUUCGGUCUGGUGGCGAGUGGCGAACGGGUGAGUAAUGUAUCGAAACGUGCCUAGUAGCGGGGGAUAACUACGCGAAAGCGUAGCUAAUACUGCAUAUUGCCCUUCGGGGGAAAGCGGGGACCUUCGGGCCUCGCACUAUUAGAGCGGCCGAUAUCGGAUUAGCUAGUUGGUGGGUAACGGCUCACCAAGGCGACGAUCCGUGGCUGGUUUGAGAGGACGACCAGCCACACUGGGACUGAGACACGGCCCAGACUCCACGGGAGGCAGCAGUGGGGAAUUUUGGACAAUGGGGGAAACCCCUGAUCCAGCCAUCCCGCGUGUGCGAUGAAGGCCUUCGGGUUGUAAAGCACUUGGCAGGAAAGAAACGGCACGGGAUACAAUUGCGCAACUGACGGUACCUGCAGAAUAAGCACUGGCUAACUACGCGCCAGCAGCCGCGGUAAUACGUAGGGUGCGCGUUAAUCGGAAUUACUGGGCGUAAAGCGUGCGCAGGCGGUUCGGAAAGAAAGAUGAAAUCCCAGAGCUUAACUUUCUUUGGGAACUACAUUUAACUACCGAGCUAGAGUGUGUCAGAGGGAGGUGGAAUUUCCGGGCGGCAGUGAAAUGCGUAGAUAUGCGGAGGAACAUCGAUGGCAAAGGUAGCCUCUGGAUAACACUGACGCCUGCGCAUCAAAGCGUGGGAGCAAACAGGAUAGAUACCUCGGGGGCCCACGCCCUUCUAAACGAUGUCAGACCACGUUGGGGCCUUCGCCUCGUGGGUAGCGCAGCUAACGUGAAGUUGACCGCCUGGGGAGUACGGUCGCAAGAUUAAAAAACCAAAGGAAUUGAUGGGACCCGCACAAGCGGUGGAUGAUGUGGAUUAAUUGAUGCAACGCGAAAACCUUACCUACUCCUUGACAUGUCUGGAAUCCCGAAGAGAUUUGGGAGUGCUCGCAAGAGAACCGGAACACAGGUGCUGUAUGGCUGUCGUCAGCUCGCGUCGUGAGAUGUUGGGUUAAGUCCCGCAACGAGCGCAACCCUUGUCAUUAGUUGCUACGAAAAGGGCACUUCCACGAGACUGCCGUGACAAACCGGAGGAAGGUGGGGAUGACGUCAAGUCCUCAUGGCCCUUAUGGGUAGGGGCUUCACACGUCAUACAAUGGUCGGGACAGGGUCGCCAACCCGCGAGGGGGAGCCAAUCCCAGAAACCCGAUCAGUCCGGAUCGCAGUCUGCAACUUCCCGACUGCGUGAAGUCGGAAUCGCUAGUAAUCGCGGAUCAGCAUGUCGCGGUGAAUACGUUCCCGGGUCUUGUACACACCGCCCGUCACACCAUGGGAGUGGGUUUUACCAGAAGUAGUUAGCCUAACCGUAAGGAGGGCGAUUACCACGGUAGGAUUCAUGACUGGGGUGAAGUCGUAACAAGGUAG